RNAcentral lists this ribosomal RNA (279 nucleotides) under uncultured bacterium. RNAcentral's name for it is "partial 16S ribosomal RNA". It matches the Rfam family "Bacterial small subunit ribosomal RNA", at positions 506 to 784 of the family's 1533-position model. The record is from RNAcentral.
UGCCAGCAGCCGCGGUAACACGAACCGGACAAACGUUAUUCGGAAUUAUUGGGCUUAAAGGGUGCGUAGGCGGUGCUGUAAGUCGGGUGUGAAAUCCCACGGCUCAACCGUGGAACUGCGCCCGAUACUGCAGUGCUAGAGGGAGACAGAGGUAAGCGGAACUGAUGGUGGAGCGGUGAAAUGCGUUGAUAUCAUCAGGAACACCAGUGGCGAAAGCGGCUUACUGGGUCUCUUCUGACGCUGAGGCACGAAAGCUAGGGUAGCGAACGGGAUUAGAUA